GUUAAUUUUGCUCUACAAAUGAAGUUAGGAUUUAAAGCUACAAGCUAAUAUAGACUCUCUCCUAACUCCAACCCGUCGCGUCCUCGCGGGACUAAUAAGUUGUGAUCGUGUAGAGUGAUACCAUGCCCCUCGAAUGUCUGCGCUUGGCUCAAAGGGUACCACCAACCCCUUGGGAGGAUGGAGAUAUGGCUGAGAUGAGAGUA
RNAcentral lists this ribozyme (203 nucleotides) under Anopheles darlingi. RNAcentral describes it as "drz-agam-2-2 ribozyme". It matches the Rfam family "drz-agam-2-2 ribozyme". The record is from Rfam by way of RNAcentral. Lineage: Eukaryota; Metazoa; Arthropoda; Insecta; Diptera; Culicidae.